CUUGUGACGACAAAGUGGUUCCUAUCUCAAUUAUUUAGUAAGGACUGGGGCCAGAGAACAUCGUAGAGUAAAAGGCAAAAGGUAGCCUUUUCUUCCAAUUAAUGAAACAGGUAUAACACUAAGACCUGGCAGAUGACCGAUAGCUCUCUCAUGCACUAUCGCGUUAGGUCAUAUUUGCGCAAGUUACAAAAUGCGGUUUGUUUUAUUCGCUCUCGCCCCUUUGUCUCACCUCCAUUGUUUGGUCACUGGAAGAACAUAAAUACGAUUCACCCUCGCACCAGACGUAACUAACCCGACUCUACUGUCUAAAAAAAAAAAAAAAAGAGCAAGAAACAACAAAUUUCUGAAAAGGAACCAGGAAAAGGAAUAAAGGAAUUUGUCAGGCCUCACAGAGGAUCAGAACCCAGGUGCAGAGAUCAAACACAGAGGCAGGGCCAAGUUAAACAAAAGAUUAUCCUAUCCAGGCCAAUCUUGUUGAUGUGGUCAGUGUGAUGGCUGCCUUUGAGUCCAGGGAUAAUAACAGGGAGAGUUGACCUCGAUGUCGGCAUCACCAUGAUACUGCAUCAAACGCACGAGGGCUUUGUCAGUCCCGCUACUCUCGGUCUGCGGCCCCUCCUUAACGUCAUGCAGAGGGCUGGAGGAGAGGACAGGAUGGAGAGAACAGAGCAGAGAGGGAGGGGGAGCAAAGACUGUGGUGCCGUCUGUUUAUCAGGACUGUAAGGGAGAAUUCCUGAUGGAGUGAUAAGGAAAACAGGCAAACAGAAUCAUAAAAAUAGAAAGAAUUCAAAUGAUGAGAGGGAGGGCAGAUGAAGGGAGGAAAGAAUUUUGUUGAACAUUUCAUGUUUAUGAACGUGUGUGUGUUGGACUCAUAUAAUUAUAUAAUAUAAUGUGACUCUCUCUGGUGCAGUUGUGGUUAGACCGCUAUUGUCUCCUGUCCCUUCACCUGGGUGAGAAUGUGCCAUGAGUGGCAGGCUUUGAAUUUUGGCUCUUGUUUUAAGAAUUCCAUUGUGUGGUUUCUGUUUUAGAUGCAUCGUGUUUAUUUUGCCUUGUGCUAUUCAAUUUCUGUUUGCACACAACAGCUCUGCUGACAUCCCUCAGCCCUGUUCAAUUCCAGCCAGAUGUUUUCAGCGGGAAACCACAUGACAAAUAACUGUACCCCAGAGUCAAUGCUACCAAGACCUCAUCUCUUAGUAGUUGAGUGUCAUAGUGAAGACCAAAUAAGCAAGAUCAUAAACAAACACAGAAUCAAAUAUUCUAGUACUAGUUUUCCAGCUAUGCUUUCAUAUUCAGCAUGAUAAAAAUGUUGGCCUGGUCCCAGAAUUAAAAAAACAUAUCCUUUAUGCAAGGCAUUGUGUAGCCAAUGAGAUAUAGGGGAUGAUUUGGUGGCCUGAGAGAGCCAGUUUUAGUAGGAAACCAAGACACCUGGAUUAACACCCCUACUCUUUCGAAAAAAUGCCAUGGGAUCUGUAAUGACCACAGAGAGUCACAACCUUCAUCUGAAGGAUGUUAAUGUUAAUGUACUUCUUUGAGGAAACAGAGUGUGUAUCAGGCACUAGAUUUGUGGUAUCAGGGAAUGUUGUGGGAAGUGUGUAUAAAACAAUGCCUUUAGUGGAUAUUUAGAGCAGCAUUUUUCAAAGUGGGUGCGGCAGCACCCUGGGGUAAUAGUGUGUCGUUCCUGAGUGAUUUAUCCUUUUAGUGAACGAAAGGAACUGACUCACCUCGAUGAAAGGAUUAAUUCCUUUGGUUAGGUGCCAGUAAAUUGUGAACUUGCCGUUCACUGAAACCACGGUUACUCCUAUUUGAUUACAAUUUUCGCCAUUGGGCUCUGUAGUAGCCAUUAGCCAAUGACAGCUUCGAUCCACUUGAUCGUGGCGUGCUUUCUGCGUCCCUCCCAUCGGUGUGAUCGAAAGCAACGGCUCCUGAACUGAAAGCGUGGCGGAACAAAUCCAGGAAGGAACUGGGUCCACAAUGAGUUCCGCACUGGAUACCGCUCUAUCGCUCUCCCUCCCCCUAGUGUGUUCGUAUUGUAAUGACAAACACUUACCUGAGUACAAUUAAAGCAAUUGGCUUUUAGCUUAGUCCAACUCUUUGAUUUUAUGAUAUAAUGUAGCCUCAAUACAAUGUGAAAAAGAGUAGGCUAUGAUUUUAGUAUGCAUUUCUCAAUGGAUUCCGUACCAA
Anguilla anguilla (European eel) is the source of this 2178-nucleotide long non-coding RNA. RefSeq lists it as uncharacterized. The transcript has 6 exons. The record is from RefSeq and is a predicted model, not a curated record. NCBI's taxonomy places the organism in Eukaryota, Metazoa, Chordata, Actinopteri, Anguilliformes, Anguillidae.